RNAcentral lists this ribosomal RNA (497 nucleotides) under uncultured bacterium. Its description in RNAcentral is "partial 16S ribosomal RNA". It matches the Rfam family "Bacterial small subunit ribosomal RNA", at positions 28 to 507 of the family's 1533-position model. The record is from RNAcentral.
GAUGAACGCUGGCGGCGUGCCUAAUACAUGCAAGUCGAGCGAACAGACGAGGAGCUUGCUCCUCUGACGUUAGCGGCGGACGGGUGAGUAACACGUGGAUAACCUACCUAUAAGACUGGGAUAACUUCGAGAAACCGGAGCUAAUACCGGAUAAUAUAUUGAACCGCAUGGUUCAAUAGUGAAAGACGGUUUUGCUGUCACUUAUAGAUGGAUACGCGCCGCAUUAGCUAGUUGGUAAGGUAACGGCUUACCAAGGCAACGAUGCGUAGCCGACCUGAGAGGGUGAUCGGCCACACUGGAACUGAGACACGGACCAGACUCCUACGGGAGGCAGCAGUAGGGAAUCUUCCGCAAUGGGCGAGAGCCUGACGGAGCAACGCCGCGUGAGUGAUGAAGGUCUUCGGAUCGUAAAACUCUGUUAUUAGGGAAGAACAAAUGUGUAAGUAACUAUGCACGUCUUGACGGUACCUAAUCAGAAAGCCACGGCUAACUACGUG